Molecule: ribosomal RNA, 253 nt
Filed under: uncultured bacterium
Lineage: Bacteria
Description: partial 16S ribosomal RNA
Rfam family: Bacterial small subunit ribosomal RNA
Source: RNAcentral
UACAGAGGGGGCAAGCGUUGUUCGGAAUUACUGGGCGUAAAGGGCGCGUAGGCGGCCGCCUAAGUCAGACGUGAAAUCCCUCGGCUCAACCGGGGAACUGCGUCUGAUACUGGGUGGCUUGAAUCCGGGAGAGGGAUGCGGAAUUCAUGGUGUAGCAGUGAAAUGCGUAGAGAUCAUGAGGAAGACCAGUGGCGAAGGCGGGUCUCUGGACAGUUCCUGACACUGAGGCACGAAGGCCAGGGGAGCAAACGGG